AUAAUAUUAAGUUAUAAAAACUAUAAAUCUUCAAAAUUUAAUAAAUAUUUUU
RNAcentral lists this transfer RNA (52 nucleotides) under Cecidomyiidae sp. 3 LC-2017. Its description in RNAcentral is "tRNA-Trp". The record is from RNAcentral. Lineage: Eukaryota; Metazoa; Arthropoda; Insecta; Diptera; Cecidomyiidae.